Dromiciops gliroides (monito del monte) is the source of this 383-nucleotide long non-coding RNA. RefSeq lists it as uncharacterized. The transcript has 3 exons. NCBI's taxonomy places the organism in Eukaryota, Metazoa, Chordata, Mammalia, Microbiotheria, Microbiotheriidae. The record is from RefSeq and is a predicted model, not a curated record.
GUACUGAGCACACAUAACCCAUUGGAAGGAGAAGAUCUACACGACCCCCCACACAAGAGUCAUCCCCAAUGACAAAGAACUUGUCCAAAGAGAAGGGAAAAGUCUGUUUAGCAGAAGUAACCAACAUGUCAACCAGCGUUGACAGAGGCCAUGGUCCUCGGUCAUCUUCCCCAUGUCUACCUCAGAGGGAAAGCGAUUCCUUGAUUCAUCUUCUUGGGUGGGGCCAGCAUUCCAAUUACAUCACGGUCACCUGGAGCCAAAUACAGGACUGGAUCAAUGUGGUCACUAUGGAAUAUAAUUUGUCAAGACCUGCCAGCCCCUCUUCUGUUUUCAUGAAGGAUCUCCUGGGUGCUUGUGUAGGCAUCUUGUGUUGUUGAUAUUUU